Molecule: ribosomal RNA, 246 nt
Filed under: uncultured bacterium
Lineage: Bacteria
Description: partial small subunit ribosomal RNA
Rfam family: Bacterial small subunit ribosomal RNA
Source: RNAcentral
AGAAUCAACGCUGGCGGCGUGCCUAACACAUGCAAGUCGCACGAGAAAGUGGAGCAAUCCACGAGUAAAGUGGCGCACGGGUGAGUAACACGUGAAUAAUCUACCUCCGAGUGGGGAAUAAACUGAGAGAAAUCUUAGCUAAUACCGCAUAAUACCCACGGGUCAAAGCAGCAAUGCGCUUGGAGAGGCGUUCGCGGCCGAUUAGCUAGUUGGCGGGGUAAUGGCCCACCAAGGCGAUGAUCGGUA